AGUGAACGCUGGCGGUAGGCCUAACACAUGCAAGUCGAACGGCAGCACAGUAAGAGCUUGCUCUUACGGGUGGCGAGUGGCGGACGGGUGAGGAAUACAUCGGAAUCUACUUUUUCGUGGGGGAUAACGUAGGGAAACUUACGCUAAUACCGCAUACAACCUACGGGUGAAAGCAGGGGAUCUUCGGACCUUGCGCGAUUGAAUGAGCCGAUGUCGGAUUAGCUAGUUGGCGGGGUAAAGGCCCACCAAGGCGACGAUCCGUAGCUGGUCUGAGAGGAUGAUCAGCCACACUGGAACUGAGACACGGUCCAGACUCCUACGGGAGGCAGCAGUGGGGAAUAGUGGACAAUGGGCGCAAGCCUGAUCCAGCCAUACCGCGUGGGUGAAGAAGGCCUUCGGGUUGUAAAGCCCUUUUGUUGGGAAAGAAAAGCAGCAGGUUAAUACCCCGCUGUUCUGACGGUACCCAAAGAAUAAGCACCGGCUAACUUCGUG
RNAcentral lists this ribosomal RNA (492 nucleotides) under uncultured bacterium. RNAcentral describes it as "partial 16S ribosomal RNA". It matches the Rfam family "Bacterial small subunit ribosomal RNA", at positions 29 to 507 of the family's 1533-position model. The record is from RNAcentral.